UGUGGGAAUAUUGCACAAUGGGGGAAACCCUGAUGCAGCAACGCCGCGUGAGCGAUGAAGGCCUUCGGGUUGUAAAGCUCUGUCUUCUGGGACGAUAAAGGCCGGUCCAGAAGGGGAAAGCCCCGGCUACUUCCUGCCCGCCACCCGCGGUAUAUAAAAA
Molecule: ribosomal RNA, 160 nt
Filed under: uncultured anaerobic bacterium
Lineage: Bacteria
Description: partial 16S ribosomal RNA
Rfam family: Bacterial small subunit ribosomal RNA
Source: RNAcentral